GACAAGGAAGAACGUGAAGUUAGGUAUUGAUCUCUCUUUAUGUGGUUUUAAUGAAUUUCAAAGAAAUUGUCCUACAGAAGUUUCACGUUUCUUGAAUUUUUGAAGUUGAAAAGAACAAUGAUAGUUUUACAUGGUUCUGAAUGAUGGAAAUUUUACAAUUGCAUAAUUAUGCUCGACUUCUUAAUGUUUAGACAUAACCAGGGCAUUGGUGUUUAUCCUCCUGUUGAUUAGAAAAAGGGGAAAAAGGUUGAGGACACUAUCAACACGAUGCAAAUGUUGAACCCUAGUUUAUCUAAGGUGAAAUUGAAU
Molecule: unclassified non-coding RNA, 309 nt
Filed under: Hevea brasiliensis (rubber tree)
Lineage: Eukaryota; Viridiplantae; Streptophyta; Magnoliopsida; Malpighiales; Euphorbiaceae
Source: RNAcentral